RNAcentral lists this ribosomal RNA (433 nucleotides) under uncultured bacterium. RNAcentral describes it as "partial 16S ribosomal RNA". It matches the Rfam family "Bacterial small subunit ribosomal RNA", at positions 29 to 507 of the family's 1533-position model. The record is from RNAcentral.
AACGAACGCUGGCGGCAUGCCUAACACAUGCAAGUCGAACGAAACCUUCGGGUUUAGUGGCGGACGGGUGCGUAACACGUGGGAACCUGCCCUUUGGUUCGGAAUAACUCACCGAAAGUUGUGCUAAUACCGGAUGUGCUCUUCGGGGCAAAGAUUUAUCGCCUUUUGAUGGGCCCGCGUUUGAUUAGCUAGUUGGUGAGGUAAAAGCCCACCAAGGCGACGAUCAAUAGCUGGUCUGAGAGGAUGACCAGACAGACUGGGGCUGAGACACGGCCCACACUCCCCCGCGGGGGAGAGGAGUGGGGAAUAGUGGACUGGGGGAGAAAGCGUCACAGCCAAGUGGCGUGAGAGAGGAAGAGGUUAGAAUGGUGAAAUGCUCUUUUACGCGGCGUGAAUGACGGUACACGGAGAAGAAGCGCCGGCUAACUUCGUG